This 87-nucleotide transfer RNA is filed under the name Gammaproteobacteria bacterium. RNAcentral's name for it is "tRNA-Leu". It matches the Rfam family "tRNA". From Rfam's summary of the family: Transfer RNA (tRNA) molecules are approximately 80 nucleotides in length. Their secondary structure includes four short double-helical elements and three loops (D, anti-codon, and T loops). The record is from RNAcentral. Lineage: Bacteria; Pseudomonadati; Pseudomonadota; Gammaproteobacteria. RNAcentral also lists the same sequence under 5 other names.
GCCCAGGUGGCGGAAUUGGUAGACGCGCCAGCUUCAGGUGCUGGUUAUCGUAAGGUAGUGGAGGUUCAAGUCCUCUCCUGGGCACCA